This 305-nucleotide small RNA is filed under the name Pseudomonas sp. URMO17WK12:I6. Its description in RNAcentral is "Pseudomonas sRNA P20". The stretch from base 95 to 305 matches the Rfam family "PhrS". The record is from RNAcentral. Lineage: Bacteria; Pseudomonadati; Pseudomonadota; Gammaproteobacteria; Pseudomonadales; Pseudomonadaceae.
UCUGUUGAUGCAGGUCAGUUAUUUCCCUUCCUUUACGCCCAGUCUCGGGCGGCAUUGAUCCCGGUCAAUUUUCUCUCCUGCCCGAUUGGUUAACUUAGCCCCAUCGCAACAGAGCAUGUGCAGGAGGCCAGUCAUGUUUUUCGAUAACGUGGUGAUCGCCGGAGUGCUGACAGUCGGCCUCAUGGUUCUGUUUUUUGCAGGGUUUGGUUUUUUUAUCUGGAAGGAUUCGCAUAAGCGGAGAAAACCGUAGUUCUUUCUGGAGCAAUGAGCACGCAAGGCAUUUUGGGCGACUUCGGUCGCCCUUU